RNAcentral lists this long non-coding RNA (1100 nucleotides) under Parus major (Great Tit). RNAcentral's name for it is "lncRNA (ENSPMJG00000013716.1)". The record is from RNAcentral. Lineage: Eukaryota; Metazoa; Chordata; Aves; Passeriformes; Paridae.
CUUACAUUUACUUAUUUUUUUUAUUCAGUGACAAUUGUUUUUUCCUGGGAAAUGAAGGUAUGUAAUUGUUUUUAUCUGCCUCAAAAGUGACUUUGAAUCUGCAAAAUAGAGUAAAACUUACAUUUUUAUUUCUUAGGUACCUGAGAAUCCCACUCAAGCCUCAUGAUCUACUUGUGCUAUUCUGAUCAUUAGCUCACAAGACGGGCUCACAGGUCCCUGCUCCAGGCUACAGCAGCCAGUGGAAGCACAACACCAGUAUCACAAAGGCAAGCCCUUGGAAUGAGAUGAAGGAGUCAAAAUGACUGCUUUGCUUCUGCUGUAUGUGUCUUGGAAAUGGAUUUUUCUAUGAAGUCUGUGGAAGCUUGUUACCAUGUUAAAUGCCCAGCUUUCAUUAAAUCUACACCUGAAGGAAACAUGGAAGAGGUCUUUUCCAACUGCUGUAUGAAAUCUCUAACAGCUCAGGUGUAUGUGUUUACUAUGAAUUGAACUCAAAGCUCUUAAGUAAUGCUGUGUGUUUAGCCUGUUUACUCCCCAAAGUAGCUGGAGAAUUAUCUGUGCAUUUUCCACAUUGUUUUCAGUGUGCUGCUUUGUUUGAUGGUGGUUUAUUAAUGAUACUUGUGAUUUAUUACUGUCACUUUAUUAGAUUAUUUGCAAAUCGGUGACAAAGCACUAUGUGGAUCAUGCCUUGUUAGUCAUAAAAGCACUCAAGAAGCCAUGAAAAUCAGUUAAGCUUGAACCUAUUGAAUGAAGGAGCAUAGUGCUCUCUAUUGAUCAGGAGCCUUUAGAUAUGUAAUGAAUAGUAGUACCUUUGUAGCACUGUCAGAUAGUGUUUUCCUUUGGAUCUGAUAAAUUACACCCUUUUGUACCAGUGGCUUGAGAUUUGGCAUAAAACAUUCUUGUAUUAGUAUUUCUUUCAGCUCCAGUACUGGGGUGAUCUUACGUGACCGAGGCAGAUAAAUGUUAGAAGAAAAAUUGAUAUUUGCUCUCCCAACAUAGUGUUGACCAUUGAAUUAACACUGAUCUGACUUUCCUAUGUGUGCAGGAGACUGAGGGCUUGAUUACAAAUGAUUAGCAGAACAUUUUUACAGCCUGUGUGCAUG